RNAcentral lists this ribosomal RNA (254 nucleotides) under uncultured bacterium. RNAcentral's name for it is "partial 16S ribosomal RNA". It matches the Rfam family "Bacterial small subunit ribosomal RNA", at positions 524 to 776 of the family's 1533-position model. The record is from RNAcentral.
UACGAAGGGGGGCUAGCGUUGCUCGGAAUGACUGGGCGUAAAGGGCGCGUAGGCGGCUUGCACAGUCAGGCGUGAAAUUCCUGGGCUCAACCUGGGGACUGCGCUUGAGACGUGUGGGCUUGAGUGGGGAAGAGGGUCGUGGAAUUCCCAGUGUAGAGGUGAAAUUCGUAGAUAUUGGGAAGAACACCGGUGGCGAAGGCGGCGACCUGGUCCUUGACUGACGCUGAGGCGCGAAAGCGUGGGGAGCAAACAGG